RNAcentral lists this non-coding RNA (61 nucleotides) under Methylocystis bryophila. RNAcentral describes it as "Fluoride sequence". It matches the Rfam family "Fluoride riboswitch aptamer (crcB RNA motif)". The record is from Rfam by way of RNAcentral. Lineage: Bacteria; Pseudomonadati; Pseudomonadota; Alphaproteobacteria; Hyphomicrobiales; Methylocystaceae.
CACCGAAAUGGGGAUGGAGUCCCCCGAAAGCGCCGCGAUGGCUGAUGACUCCUACAACCCC